Molecule: ribosomal RNA, 336 nt
Filed under: uncultured bacterium
Lineage: Bacteria
Description: bacterial SSU rRNA
Rfam family: Bacterial small subunit ribosomal RNA
Source: RNAcentral
AUUGAACGCUGGCGGCAUGCCUUACACAUGCAAGUCGAACGGCAGCACGGGAGCAAUCCUGGUGGCGAGUGGCGAACGGGUGAGUAAUAUAUCGGAACGUGCCCAGUCGUGGGGAUAACGUAGCGAAAGCUACGCUAAUACCGCAUACGAUCUAUGGAUGAAAGCGGGGGAUCGCAAGACCUCGCGCGAUUGGAGCGGCCGAUAUCAGAUUAGGUAGUUGGUGAGGUAAAGGCUCACCAAGCCGACGAUCUGUAGCUGGUCUGAGAGGACGACCAGCCACACUGGGACUGAGACACGGCCCAGACUCCUACGGGAGGCAGCAGUGGGGAAUUUUGG